Heterocephalus glaber (naked mole-rat) is the source of this 733-nucleotide non-coding RNA. The record is from RefSeq and is a predicted model, not a curated record. NCBI's taxonomy places the organism in Eukaryota, Metazoa, Chordata, Mammalia, Rodentia, Bathyergidae.
GUGCAGGAAAAAGGGAGCGGUGAGCAAUACGGCCAAGUCAGCCAGGGCCAAGUUCAACACCAUCAGGGCAGUGACUGACCGCUUCCGCAUCCUUUUCAGGAUGCUCCACACCACAAAGGUGUUGCCGGGAAGCCCCACAGCCAGCGACAUGGACAAAAGGAUCAUAGACAACAGAGACCUAAUUGCAAAAUAUACAGCGGCGGCAGCGGCAGCAGCAGCAGCAGGAGCAACAUUUCCAGACCUUUCCAGCCUCCUUCCCUUAGGAAAGGGCCCUCAAAUCCAGAAUCAAACUGGGAGACUUUCCUCACUGAAGGGACACCCUGUGAAAGAGGGGUUCCAUGGAUAAGCCUAGGGGAGCCAGGCCACCCAGACUGAGGAGGACAGGGCAGGAUGCCACUGAAGGCUGGCCACACUGUCCCUCCCUGGACUGGACCAGCUGGGAAGCAGGUGGCGUCCAUGCAAUUCAAGCUUGAUGAACCACCAAAGGGAGCACACUUAAGCCAUCAUCCUAUGGCUUCCAGUAUAUUUCGCAACAGCUACUGGCAACAGGAACCCUCGAAGAGCCGCAUGAGGAAACGAGGACCAGCCCGAGGCAGCAGAUCCCCAGCGGUGAAGACGUAGAGCACCGGGUUGACGCUGGAGCUGAAGAAGGCCAAGGCCGUGGUUCCAGCUCGGACUGCCUGUCCGGCCCCACCCAGCCUCGCCAAGGCCCCUUCGGGUGGAGCGAGUACGG